This 252-nucleotide ribosomal RNA is filed under the name uncultured bacterium. RNAcentral's name for it is "partial 16S ribosomal RNA". It matches the Rfam family "Bacterial small subunit ribosomal RNA", at positions 524 to 776 of the family's 1533-position model. The record is from RNAcentral.
UACGUAGGUCCCGAGCGUUAUCCGGAUUUAUUGGGUUUAAAGGGUGCGCAGGCGGCACGGCAAGCCGGCGGUCAAAUCGCGGGGCUCAACCCCGCCCAGCCGUCGGAGCUGCCGGGCUAGAGUGGGCGAGAAGUGCGCGGAAUGCGUGGUGUAGCGGUGAAAUGCAUAGAUAUCACGCAGAACUCCGAUUGCGAAGGCAGCGCACCGGCGCCCUACUGACGCUAAGGCACGAAAGCGUGGGUAUCGAACAGG